RNAcentral lists this ribosomal RNA (607 nucleotides) under bacterium ER-Te-54-dark. RNAcentral's name for it is "bacterial SSU rRNA". It matches the Rfam family "Bacterial small subunit ribosomal RNA", at positions 129 to 732 of the family's 1533-position model. The record is from RNAcentral.
CCCAGUCGAGGGGGAUAACAGUUGGAAACGAUGCUAAUACCGCAUACGCUCUACGGGGGAAAGGAGGGGACCUUCAGACCUUUCGCGAUUGGAUGAACCUAGGUGGGAUUAGCUAGUUGGUGAGGUAAUGGCUCACCAAGGCGACGAUCCCUAGCUGUUCUGAGAGGAUGAUCAGCCACACUGGGACUGAGACACGGCCCAGACUCCUACGGGAGGCAGCAGUGGGGAAUAUUGCACAAUGGGCGAAAGCCUGAUCCAGCCAUGCCGCGUGUGUGAAGAAGGCCUUCGGGUUGUAAAGCACUUUCAGUAGGGAGGAAAGGGUAUUGCUUAAUACGCAAUAUUUAUGACGUUACCUACAGAAGAAGCACCGGCUAACUCCGUGCCAGCAGCCGCGGUAAUACGGAGGGUCCGAGCGUUAAUCGGAAUUACUGGGCGUAAAGCGUGCGCAGGCGGUUAGUUAAGCCAGAUGUGAAAUCCCCGGGCUCAACCUGGGAAUUGCAUUUGGAACUGCCGAACUAGAGUCUUGCAGAGGGGGGUAGAAUUCCAGGUGUAGCGGUGAAAUGCGUAGAUAUCUGGAGGAACACCGGUGGCGAAGGCGGCCCCCUGG